Molecule: long non-coding RNA, 691 nt
Filed under: Homo sapiens (human)
Lineage: Eukaryota; Metazoa; Chordata; Mammalia; Primates; Hominidae
Description: non-protein coding lnc-HNRNPUL2-BSCL2-1:4
Source: RNAcentral
CCAUGGUUGCACGAUUAGGUAGGGGCUCCGGGCGCUUUGCCCACCCCCGAGCUGGAGGGGACUGGCGGGAAGCGGCGGUUGGCUGCAGGGCGCUCCGCCGGGCGUGGGGUGUAGCCGUGUCGGUGAGCGAGCUCUGCUCGAGGCGGAGAGGAGAAACUCGGGAAGCAAUUGUGGCUACUCUAAGGCUACUGGUUUCGAGUCAGGCCGUGCGACCUUAGGCAAGUCGCACAUUCUCUCCGUGCAGCUGCCUAGCAGUGUGGAUUCAGUAUCACCGUGUGUGUAAAGCUCUUUCUAAGAAUCGUAAGGAACCACCAGCUGCUGCAUCCCAUGGCCAGGGGUGGCGUCCAGGUGGCAGAGCAGCUAGGAACGCAAGGCCUGAACCUGGGGCCAGACACCCUGCUCUCCCGGCCAUGGUCAACGACCCUCCAGUACCUGCCUUACUGUGGGCCCAGGAGGACCGACUGUGAUUCCUCCACCACCUCACUCUGCUCCUUCCCUGUUGCCAAUGUCUCGCUGACUAAGGGUGGACGUGAUCGGGUGCUGAUGUAUGGACAGCCGUAUCGUGUUACCUUAGAGCUUGAGCUGCCAGAGUCCCCUGUGAAUCAAGAUUUGGGCAUGUUCUUGGUCACCAUUUCCUGCUACACCAGAGGUGGCCGAAUCAUCUCCACUUCUUCGCGUUCGGUAAGUGUUG